GGGUGUGGGGAGGAGGACUUGAGCUACAGAUGUGACGCUCCUGACAUGUCGCAGGCACACGGCACGUGUCGGCCUCCUCGCCAGCCCUGGACAAGAUGGGUCAUCAGGAUGGGACCGUGUGGCACAGCCUGCGGGCUUUGGAGCCAGGCAAACCUGGGCUGGGAAUCCUGGCUCUGCCUCGGCCUCCGUGAUCUUAGACAGGCAGCCCCACCUCCCUGAGACACCAUUUCUCUACAACGGAAUCAUGCUGCCUGCCUCGUGGGAUUUCCGCGGGCACUCAGGCCUCCUCCCCUCUCCCUCUGUGCUUUUCCAAACCUUCCAUGUCCAGCUCUGAGACCCCUGGGCCCUGAG
RNAcentral lists this small RNA (351 nucleotides) under Pan troglodytes (chimpanzee). RNAcentral's name for it is "processed transcript". Lineage: Eukaryota; Metazoa; Chordata; Mammalia; Primates; Hominidae. The record is from RNAcentral.